AAAAUCAGUCAAUUCCAAUUUAAUUGUGAAAUAAAUUACUCUUUUUACACCCUCUCCUUACCGUUUCAACCACUCUACAAUCUGUUCCAAAAUUAAACCACAAUCAACUCUCAAUUAUACUCCCACAUUAUGUAGUAUAUUAAUCCUCAUACCCUAAUCUCUCCUCCUCACUCAAAUUCGCAGUCACUCUCUUUUCACUUUUGAACCACAAAGCGGCGGAGUGAGCAGUAGAGGAGUUCAUCUUUCUCUCUUCCAAAUCCUAAUUUGACCACGAAAUUUGGAUCAAAUUCGGAAGGGGAAAAACCAGAAGCUUCGAUCUUUUUGCCUAAGCCGAUUUGUUGCUAAAGAAAAAGUUCAUCAUUGGGAUGGAGGAGGGGCCAAGAACAACACUGUUCUUAAGCAGCAGCAGGAAGAACUUGGUGGUGCAGUUCCUACUGAAGCACAGCAUCGAUGGAGUGCUCACAAGAGGGGCAGUAAUGGAGGCAGCAGAGGAGCACGGCAUAAGCAGGAAGACAGUUUAUAGGCUGUGGAAGAAAGCAAAACAACAGAUGCAAAUGGGGGAACCUGCAAUCAUGGAAGGCAAGGUUAAAGGCUAUCAUCAUUCAAACAAGUUAAUUCUAGAUGAAGAAAAGGUUAGAACUUUAUCCACACUUGAAAGGUCUUCAAUUAGAAACAUUGCACACAAAUUGUCUGUUAGCAAAAGUACACUUGGUCAGUGGAUUAAGGAGGACAAAUUAAGGCCACAUACAAAUGCUAUCAAACCUGUCCUAACUGAUGCAAAUAAGUUAGCUAGGUUGAAAUGGUGCCUUAGUAAACUUCAGCCAAGUAUAAAUGCAGGUAGAGUUCAGUUUGAAAGCAUGCACAAUGUUGUGCAUAGUGAUGAAAAAUGAUUCUAUAUGACCAAGGCAUCAGACAUGUAUUACCUCUUGCCGGAUGAGGAUGAGCCAUAUAGGGCAUGCAAGUCAAAGAGGUUCAUCACCAAAGUGAUGUUCAUGUGUGCUGUAAGUAGGCCUGUGUUUAGCUUGGAUGGCCAAACCAAAUUUGAUGGAAAGUGGUGCCAGCAAAAAGGAAAUCCAAGAAUAGGCCUAGAGGCACACUUGAGCCUAAACCAAUCCAGUCAGUUAACAAGAGUGUGAUGAGUGACUGCAUUAUACACCGGAUUUUACCAGCAAUUAAGGCCAAGUGGCACAAGACAAUGCCACACCCCACAUAAAUGGUGUGGAUGCUGAGUUUGAGGCGGUUGCCAAAUCAGAUGGAUUUAAAAUCCAUCUGAUUUGUCAACCACCUAAUUCACCUGACACCAACAUUUUAGACCUAGGUUUUCUCAGGGCCAUUCAGACAUUGCAGCAUGAGAAACCAUGCAAUAAUGUUGACACAUUGUUGGAGAAUGUGUGUAGCUCUUAUGAGAGCUGUCACCACAAACCAUAAACAGAGUAUUCCUCUAAUUGCAGGCUUGCCUCACACAGAUCAUGGUAUUUAGGGGUGGGAACAAUUACAAGGUCCCUCACAUUAACAAGAACAGGUUGGAAAGAACUGUGGGGCUGCCCAAUGCACUGGAUGUGGAUGAGGAGCUUGUGAGAGAUGUGUUGGAGUACUUGUGGAUAUGACAUUAGGGCUUUGGCUUCUGCUUUUGGAUUCUAGAUAGAUAGUGGAAGUGUUUUGGUAGUAAGGCCUUCAUGUUUUUGGUCAGUAAGGUCUGAUAUUUUGUGUUUUGUAUGCAAAACUAGUGCAAAGAACAUGUAAUGCACAUAUUUAAUGAAG
Molecule: non-coding RNA, 1761 nt
Organism: Salvia hispanica
Lineage: Eukaryota; Viridiplantae; Streptophyta; Magnoliopsida; Lamiales; Lamiaceae
Source: RefSeq, a predicted model, not a curated record